CCUACGGGAGGCAGCAGUGGGGAAUAUUGGGCAAUGGGCGAAAGCCUGACCCAGCGACGCCGCGUGAGGGACGAAGGCCUUCGGGUUGUAAACCUCUUUCAGCAGGGAAGAAGCGAAAGUGACGGUACCUGCAGAAGAAGCACCGGCUAACUACGUGCCAGCAGCCGCGGUAAUACGUAGGGUGCAAGCGUUGUCCGGAAUUAUUGGGCGUAAAGAGCUCGUAGGUGGUUUGCCACGUCGGAUGUGAAAACCUGAGGCUUAACCUCAGGCCUGCAUUCGAUACGGGCAGACUAGAGUGUGGUAGGGGAGACUGGAAUUCCUGGUGUAGCGGUGAAAUGCGCAGAUAUCAGGAGGAACACCGGUGGCGAAGGCGGGUCUCUGGGCCAUAACUGACACUGAGGAGCGAAAGCGUGGGGAGCAAACAGGAUUAGAUACCCUGGUAGUCCACGCCGUAAACGGUGGGCACUAGAUGUGGGGACCUUCCACGGUCUCUGCGUCGCNGCUACGCAUAGUGCCCGCCGUCGGGAGGUACGGCCGCGACGACGUAAACUUAAAUAGAUUAGACGGCGNGAGACGUGCCGACGGACGACGACGAGGGAGUAGG
RNAcentral lists this ribosomal RNA (604 nucleotides) under uncultured bacterium. Its description in RNAcentral is "bacterial SSU rRNA". The stretch from base 1 to 520 matches the Rfam family "Bacterial small subunit ribosomal RNA", at positions 338 to 873 of the family's 1533-position model. The record is from RNAcentral.